Molecule: long non-coding RNA, 956 nt
Filed under: Gossypium barbadense (sea-island cotton)
Lineage: Eukaryota; Viridiplantae; Streptophyta; Magnoliopsida; Malvales; Malvaceae
Description: long non-coding RNA (GBAR_LNC017399)
Source: RNAcentral
CCUGUAAAAGCAUAUCCUGUACUCAAAUUAACAGCUCCAUCAGUGUGCAAAUGAAUCCAAUUUAUCGAAAGAGAAUUCGUGAAUCUUCUAUUCAAAGCUUCGUACUUCAAAAUUGUUUCGCCCAUGUAAGACCCAAUUUAUGCCCGGGCCCGAAUAUUAAAAAAGGAUAAACAACAGUCCAAUUACAAAGGAAAAUAGCAAGCCCAAUGUAGUCCAUGGCCCAAAACAAAAAUAAACACUAGCCCACAAAACCUAAAACAUUUUCAGCCAAGAGCAAACCUUAGGCUGCAUGCCUGCCUCUAGCCUCUGUCGCCGCCUGCCAUGCCUCUAGCGCACGCCGGCCUACUCGCACGCCUCUGCCAUCGCCUGUACCAACGCGUCUGACACCUGCAAAACGAGCAACACGCAACAACAAAAGAAACAAACAGCAAACAGACAAAAAAUAGAAAUUAAGAAGUUGUUUAGAUUGGCUAUAAAGCCAAAAAUGAAAGACUUGUAAUCUUCUUCUUCUCUUGGACAAAUCUGGAGAAAUAAAAAGAAAGAAACAAAGUUUUAAGGAUUCUCUUUAUUUUCAAUCUUUCUAUAUUCUUUUACCUUUAUUUUCUUUAUUAUUGUUUUUUUAUUUUUGAUAAACGAAAAUAAAAGGAGGAAAGAAAUACCUGGGGCGCCCUUGGCCGCGUCGUCGGAGCCCUCUCCGUCGCCGAAAUCGGCUCUAAAGGCGGGGCCAAAAGGUUCUUUCUCUCGGUAUUCAGGCCAAGCAAGCUCGGCCUCUGAACAGGAUCUGAAACGGGGCUCAAAGUAUCCCCUAUGCGCAGCGACGGCCACCGUCCAAGGCGAUCACGGCGGUGCAUGGCAAUGGCCUUGUUGGCCGGAUCUGGAAAGGCUGAGAGGGAGAGACCCUUGGCUCUCUGUUUUUUCUUUCUAAAAGUAAAGGAGGGGACUUCUUUUGUUUUUUU